AUACGGAGGGUGCAAGCGUUACUCGGAAUCACUGGGCGUAAAGCGCGCGCAGGCGGCUAUUUAAGUUGGAUGUGAAAGCCUAUGGCUCAACCAUAGAACUGCAUCCAAAACUAUUUAGCUAGAGUGUGGGAGAGGAAGAUGGAAUUAGUUGUGUAGGGGUAAAAUCCGUAGAGAUAACUAGGAAUACCAAAAGCGAAGGCAAUCUUCUGGAACACUACUGACGCUGGGGCGCGAAAGCGUGGGGAGCAAACAGGAUUAGAAACCCUAGUAGUCC
RNAcentral lists this ribosomal RNA (274 nucleotides) under uncultured bacterium. RNAcentral describes it as "partial 16S ribosomal RNA". It matches the Rfam family "Bacterial small subunit ribosomal RNA", at positions 523 to 796 of the family's 1533-position model. The record is from RNAcentral.